Molecule: ribosomal RNA, 433 nt
Filed under: uncultured bacterium
Lineage: Bacteria
Description: partial 16S ribosomal RNA
Rfam family: Bacterial small subunit ribosomal RNA
Source: RNAcentral
AACGAACGCUGGCGGCAUGCCUAACACAUGCAAGUCGAACGAGACCUUCGGGUCUAGUGGCGCACGGGGGCGUCACACGUGGGAAGCUUCCCUUUGCUUCGGAAUAACAGUUAGAAAUGACUGCUAAUACCGGAUGAUGUCGAAAGACCAAAGAUUUAUCGGCACAGGAUGAGCCCGCGUAGGAUUAGGUAGUUGGUGGGGUAAAGGCCUACCAAGCCGACGAUCCUUAGCUGGGCUGAGAGGAUGAUCAGCCACACUGGGACUGAGACACGGCCCAGACUCCUACGGGAGGGAGCAGUAGGGAAUAUUGGAAAAUGGGCGAAAGCCUGAUCCAGCAAUGCCGCGUGAGUGAUGAAGGCCUUAGGGUAGUAAAGCUCUUUUAACAGGGAUGAUAAUGACAGUAACUGGAGAAUAAGCCCCGGCUAACUCCGUG